Molecule: unclassified non-coding RNA, 220 nt
Filed under: soil metagenome
Description: partial contains 5.8S ribosomal RNA, internal transcribed spacer 2, and large subunit ribosomal RNA
Source: RNAcentral
AACACUGUUAACCUGCGGUACCUGCGGAGGGAUCAUUACACAAUACAAUAUGAAGGCUGUCCGCAGCUGGAGUAUUUUAUUACCCUUGUCUUUUGCGCACCUGUUGUUUCCUGGGCGGGUUCGCUCGCCACCAGGACCACCAAAUAAACCUUUUUUAUGCAGUUGCAAUCAGCGUCAGUACAAACAAUGUAAAUCAUUUACAACUUUCAACAAUGGAUCU